GAUUCUGGGGGGAGGCCGACUCCACCCUGGCUGGAGGAACUGGGUGCUCCUGCCCGCUGGCCCCUCGCGCGUGAGGAUCUAUCUCAGGUGUGUGCUUCCUGGGAGACCCCUUCCCCCGCCCCUAGGAUUCUAGCGGGGAGUGGUCCCUUUCUGACCCGGGCGAGUGUUCUGGGACUCCAGUCUUGCGGCUAAGAAAUGGCAUUUCAAAAGGCAGUGAAAGGGACGAUUCUUGUUGGAGGAGGUGCUCUUGCAACUGUUUUAGGACUUUCUCAGUUUGCUCAUUACAGAAGGAAACAAAUGAACCUGGCCUAUGUUAAAGCAGCAGACUGCAUUUCAGAACCAGUUAACAGGGAGCCUCCUUCCAGAGAAGCUCAGCUACUCACUUUGCAAAAUACAUCUGAAUUUGAUAUCCUUGUUAUUGGAGGAGGAGCAACAGGAAGUGGCUGUGCACUAGAUGCUGUCACCAGAGUGUCAGGAGAAUCGACUUAAGAAACUGUAAAACUUUAAGAAGAGAACUACGCCUGUGAGAUUUACUAGACUGAUUUUGAAAAAGACUACUGAUAAGG
Molecule: small RNA, 566 nt
Filed under: Pongo abelii (Sumatran orangutan)
Lineage: Eukaryota; Metazoa; Chordata; Mammalia; Primates; Hominidae
Description: processed transcript
Source: RNAcentral